Molecule: ribosomal RNA, 28 nt
Filed under: Ophiocordyceps sinensis
Lineage: Eukaryota; Fungi; Ascomycota; Sordariomycetes; Hypocreales; Ophiocordycipitaceae
Description: partial 18S ribosomal RNA
Source: RNAcentral
CGUUGGUSAACCAGCGGAGGGAUCAUUA